Long non-coding RNA from Clupea harengus (Atlantic herring), 486 nucleotides. NCBI's taxonomy places the organism in Eukaryota, Metazoa, Chordata, Actinopteri, Clupeiformes, Clupeidae. The record is from Ensembl.
AAACACCUUCAGGUAGCAGGUGACUGUGAAUAAACACCUUCAGGUAGCAGGUGACUGUGGAUAAACACCUUUAGAAAACAAGCGGGUGGAUAAACACCUUUAGAUAACAAUAAUAAUAAUAAUAAUAAUUAAUUUGAUUUGUAACGAUAGCAGGCGGCUGUGGAUAAACACCUUUAGAUAGCAGGCGACUGUGAAUGGAUGUGGAGAAAUCUAGUCCAGUAAUUCAGUAAGGGGAUCUAGGGUGUGUGUGUGUGUGUGUGUGUGUUGUGGUUUAGUAAGGGGAUCUAGGGUGGUCAGCAGAGCCUCACUUGUCAUCUUGAAAAGUAAAAAAAAAAAAAAAAUUAUAAAAUAAAAUAAAUAUUCAUAUUUCUCUACUAAUCUGUGGUAUAGGUGUAAAUUCUGCAUGAUUCCAAUCAUUUCGAGCUGAAUUCGCUGAAUUUGCGCAUGUCCUAUUCAAAUAGACGGGAGAAAACAAGGGACGUGCGG